This is a long non-coding RNA of Oncorhynchus tshawytscha (Chinook salmon), 335 nucleotides long. NCBI's taxonomy places the organism in Eukaryota, Metazoa, Chordata, Actinopteri, Salmoniformes, Salmonidae. The record is from Ensembl.
AGUUGGAGCAGUUGGACGGUCAACCACUGAAAGUCCUGAAGCCCAACAUUUCGGUGAAGCCCGACCGUCAACUGUCCGAGCCACCCAAGAGGAUCAGUCUGAUUCUCUGUGCUCUGAGUCGGAAAGACACCAGCUUGAGGUGGCUUGCAUUGGACUGGAGGAACAGGAGCAGGUAAGUCCAGGCCCUGGACUAGAAGACACUAGUGAGGUUCUCAUCACUAGUGUCUAACAGGCACAGGUAAGGCCAGCUGCUCUUUGUGGCCGGAUGGAGGACCUUCGGGGGGUCAUUCGUCCGUCACACUCCUGGUUAGACAAUUUUACAAUUGAUCAUGCUC